This is a non-coding RNA of Pelobates cultripes (western spadefoot toad), 444 nucleotides long. The record is from the annotation of a GenBank genome assembly. Lineage: Eukaryota; Metazoa; Chordata; Amphibia; Anura; Pelobatidae.
UAUCAAUUUCCCCCCUCGCUUUUAUCACUUUUCUUUUCCUUUGUUUAUUUUUUACACCUCUUUCAAAGUCUCCUCCUUCUCCUCUCUUACUUUCAAGCGUUCAUCUCUUUUUUAGCACUUUUCUUUACUCCUUAUAUUUUUACAGCUCUCGUACUCUCUUCCUUUUACCCCUUUCUUUAGGCUUUUCAGUCCUCCUCGUGCUCCUCUCUGGUGCUGCCUGACAAAACAUGGCACAAUGGCAAACACACACUGUCAGACACACAUACAGACAGCAAUGUCACACACACAGCAAUGUCACACACACACACAGACAGCAAUGUCAGACACACACACACACACAGCAAUGUCACACACACAUACAGACAGCAAUGUCACACACACACAGCAAUGUCACACACACACACAGACAGCAAUGUCACACACACACACACAACGAUGUCAGAC